CCAGACUCCUACGGGAGGCAGCAGUAGGGAAUCUUCGGCAAUGGACGAAAGUCUGACCGAGCAACGCCGCGUGAGUGAAGAAGGUUUUCGGAUCGUAAAACUCUGUUGGUAGAGAAGAACGUUGGUGAGAGUGGAAAGCUCAUCAAGUGACGGUAACUACCCAGAAAGGGACGGCUAACUACGUGCCAGCAGCCGCGGUAAUACGUAGGUCCCGAGCGUUGUCCGGAUUUAUUGGGCGUAAAGCGAGCGCAGGUGGUUUAUUAAGUCUGGUGUAAAAGGCAGUGGCUCAACCAUUGUAUGCAUUGGAAACUGGUAGACUUGAGUGCAGGAGAGGAGAGUGGAAUUCCAUGUGUAGCGGUGAAAUGCGUAGAUAUAUGGAGGAACACCGGUGGCGAAAGCGGCUCUCUGGCCUGUAACUGACACUGAGGCUCGAAAGCGUGGGGAGCAAACAGGAUUAGAUACCCUGGUAGUCCACGCCGUAAACGAUGAGUGCUAGAUGUAGGGAACUAUAAGUUCUCUGUAUCGCAGCUAACGCAAUAAGCACUCAGCCUGGGGAGUACGACCGCAAGGUUGAAACUCAAAGGAAUUGACGGGGGCCCGCACAAG
This 606-nucleotide ribosomal RNA is filed under the name uncultured bacterium. Its description in RNAcentral is "bacterial SSU rRNA". It matches the Rfam family "Bacterial small subunit ribosomal RNA", at positions 331 to 929 of the family's 1533-position model. The record is from RNAcentral.